This 492-nucleotide ribosomal RNA is filed under the name uncultured bacterium. RNAcentral describes it as "partial 16S ribosomal RNA". It matches the Rfam family "Bacterial small subunit ribosomal RNA", at positions 29 to 507 of the family's 1533-position model. The record is from RNAcentral.
AGUGAACGCUGGCGGUAUGCCUAAUACAUGCAAGUCGAACGGACGCACAGUAAGAGUUCGCCUUUACGGUUGGCGAGUGGCGGAUGGGUGAGGCGUACAUCGGCAUCCACUAUUACGUGGGGAAUAUCGUAGGGCCACUUCUGCUAAUACCGCAUAUGAUGUACGGCAGAAUGCAAAGGUUCAUGACGGUUUGCGUGACACAAUUAGACGAUGUCGGAUUAGCUAGUUGGCGAGGUAAAGGCCCACCAAGGCGACGAUCCGUAGCUGGUCUGAGAGGAUGAUCAGCCACACUGGAACUGAGACACGGUCCAGACUCCUACGGGAGGCAGCAGUAGGGAAUAUUGGGCAAUGGGCGCAAGCCUGACCCAGCCAUGCCGCGUGAGUGAAGAAGGCCUUCGGGUCGUAAAGCCCUGUUAUUGGGAAAGAAAAGCAGCAGAUUAAUACCCCGCUGUUCUGACGGUACCCAAAGAGUAAGCACCGGCUAACUUCGUG